Non-coding RNA from Vicugna pacos (alpaca), 131 nucleotides. Lineage: Eukaryota; Metazoa; Chordata; Mammalia; Artiodactyla; Camelidae. The record is from RefSeq and is a predicted model, not a curated record.
ACAAAGAUUCUUUUCAGUUGAAAAGUGCAAUACAUACAUAUAUAUGGGGAGGUAGUAGCUCCAACACGGUUUCUCAGUGAAAACUGCAGGAACUUCAAACUGGCACUACGAAACAGACUGAGAAACCAGAG